This 833-nucleotide long non-coding RNA is filed under the name Amborella trichopoda. RNAcentral describes it as "long non-coding RNA (ATRI_LNC002982)". Lineage: Eukaryota; Viridiplantae; Streptophyta; Magnoliopsida; Amborellales; Amborellaceae. The record is from RNAcentral.
AACAAACAAAAUUUUUAAAAAAUAAUCUAUGUAAGACACUCAUAAUCUAAACAAAAACGGAUGUCCACUCUAAACAUCCCAUUAGGUACUCGUGUGUUUCAUAUAUCAUAUUUCUUUAAACAAAUAUCAUAGUAUGAAUAUUCUCAAACACCAAUAUCUCACUAAAACAACUUGCAAUUCAUAUUUUUAAGUCGAUAUUUCAGUUUUACGAUAUUGGUAUUUUUGAGAUAUUGGUAUUUGUAUUUCAGUAAAUCAGCACCAGCACGUCAGAAAAUGAGUCACCCGAUGAGAUAUUGGUGUUUUGAACACAGAUGUUGCACCAAGGCACCAUUGAAAUUUAAGAACCGGCCCCUAGAUCAAUAUAGGACCCUCUAUUUUGUGUGCUUUGGGAGGUUUUUUGAAAUGAAAUGUUUACGUAGCAUAUCUCUCCGAUUGUAGUUUGACAAUAUUUAAUUUGCAAAAUGAAUUUGAUUCAUGAGAUGAACAUUGUAUAAAAAAAUAUAUAUCAAAUUUGUCGGGGAAUCCAUUAAAUUGCCCUAAUAGAUGAAGAGUUUGAUACUCCCACAUAUUUUUAUUUAAUUUCAAAAUAUCCACAAAAGAACAUACGGCAUUGAGUAGAAAUAGUUGCAAUUGGGCAAAAUAUUAAAUACUUCACCUAUUAGAAAUGUUUUUAACAUUUUUUUGUUUUUAAAUAAGCAAAUAGUAUAGAAAUUUGAUUUCUUAAAACAACUAUUUGAUCUUCCAAAUAGAUUAUCUGCAUUCACUCUUGGGGCAUUUCUUUAUUUUUAUUUUUAUUUCCUAUAAUAAGUGGAUAUGCAAAUUUUGGAGGUCCA